RNAcentral lists this ribosomal RNA (465 nucleotides) under uncultured bacterium. RNAcentral describes it as "partial 16S ribosomal RNA". It matches the Rfam family "Bacterial small subunit ribosomal RNA", at positions 28 to 507 of the family's 1533-position model. The record is from RNAcentral.
GACGAACGCUGGCGGCGUGCUUAACACAUGCAAGUCGAACGGAAAGGCCCUGCUUGCAGGGUACUCGAGUGGCGAACGGGUGAGUAACACGUGGGUGAUCUGCCCUGCACUUCGGGAUAAGCCUGGGAAACUGGGUCUAAUACCGGAUAGGAGCCAUUUUUAGUGUGAUGGUUGGAAAGUUUUUUCGGUGUAGGAUGAGCUCGCGGCCUAUCAGCUUGUUGGUGGGGUAAUGGCCUACCAAGGCGGCGACGGGUAGCCGGCCUGGGAGGGUGGACGGCCACAUUGGGACUGAGGGUCGGCCCAGACUCCUACGGGGGGCAGCAGUGGGGAAUAUUGCACAAUGGGCGCAAGCCUGAUGCAGCGACGCCGCGUGGGGGAUGACGGCCUUCGGGUUGUAAACUCCUUUCGCUAGGGACGAAGCUGUUUGUGACGGUACCUAGAGAAGAAGCACCGGCUAACUACGUG